AGUGAACGCUGGCGGUAGGCCUAACACAUGCAAGUCGAACGGCAGCACAGUAAGAGCUUGCUCUUACGGGUGGCGAGUGGCGGACGGGUGAGGAAUACAUCGGAAUCUACUUUUUCGUGGGGGAUAACGUAGGGAAACUUACGCUAAUACCGCAUACGACCUACGGGUGAAAGCAGGGGAUCUUCGGACCUUGCGCGAUUGAAUGAGCCGAUGUCGGAUUAGCUAGUUGGCGGGGAAAAGGCCCACCAAGGCGAGGAUCCGUAGCUGGUCUGAGAGGAUGAUCAGCCACACUGGAACUGAGACACGGUCCAGCCUCCUCCGGGAGGCAGCAUUGGGGAAUAUUGGACAAUGGGCGCAAGCCUGAUCCAGCCAUACCGCGUGGGUGAAGAAGGCUUUCGGGUUGUAAAGCCCUUUUGUUGGGAAAGAAAAGCAGCAGGUUAAUACCCCGCUGUUCUGACGGUACCCAAAGAAUAAGCACCGGCUAACUUCGUG
This 492-nucleotide ribosomal RNA is filed under the name uncultured bacterium. Its description in RNAcentral is "partial 16S ribosomal RNA". It matches the Rfam family "Bacterial small subunit ribosomal RNA", at positions 29 to 507 of the family's 1533-position model. The record is from RNAcentral.